CAGUCGAGGGGCAGCGGAGAGGUAGCAAUACCUUUGCCGGCGACCGGCGCACGGGUGAGUAACACGUAUGCAAUCCACCUGUAACAGGGGGAUAAGCCGGAGAAAUCCGGACUAAUACCCCAUAAUAUGGGUUCUCCGCAUGGAGGGUCCAUUAAAGAGAGCAAUUUUGGUUACAGACGAGCAUGCGCUCCAUUAGCCAGUUGACGGGGUAACGGCCCACCAAAGCGACGAUGGAUAGGGGUUCUGAGAGGAAGGUCCCCCACAUUGGAACUGAGACACGGUCCAAACUCCUACGGGAGGCAGCAGUGAGGAAUAUUGGUCAAUGGUCGGCAGACUGAACCAGCCAAGUCGCGUGAGGGAAGACGGCCCUACGGGUUGUAAACCUCUUUUGUCGGAGAGUAAAGUACGCUACGUGUAGCGUAUUGCAAGUAUCCGAAGAAAAAGCAUCGGCUAACUCCGUGCCAGCAGCCGCGGUAAUACGGAGGAUGCAAGCGUUAUCCGGAUUUAUUGGGUUUAAAGGGUGCGUAGGCGGCACGCCAAGUCAGCGGUGAAAUUUCCGGGCUCAACCCGGACUGUGCCGUUGAAACUGGCGAGCUAGAGUGCACAAGAGGCAGGCGGAAUGCGUGGUGUAGCGGUGAAAUGCAUAGAUAUCACGCAGAACCCCGAUUGCGAAGGCAGCCUGCUAGGGUGCGACAGACGCUGAGGCACGAAAGCGUGGGUAUCGAACAGGAUUAGAUACCCUGGUAGUCCACGCAGUAAACGAUGAAUACUAACUGUUU
RNAcentral lists this ribosomal RNA (779 nucleotides) under uncultured bacterium. Its description in RNAcentral is "bacterial SSU rRNA". It matches the Rfam family "Bacterial small subunit ribosomal RNA", at positions 59 to 825 of the family's 1533-position model. The record is from RNAcentral.